UCUAGUUAAUUCUAUUAGUAGUUAUAUACUUAUCUUAAAGAUUAAGCUAUAUAUAUCUAAGUAUAAGUAAUUAUAUAGUAAAACUAUAAGUAGCUUAUUAUAUAAGUUAUUAUUUAUUUAAUAAUAUCUUACUACUUAGAUAACUAUAGUAAUUCUAGAGUUAAUAUAUAUUAAAAAUCUUAACUUUAGAAGGGAGGUAUUUAUUAGAUUAAAAACUAAUACCCUCUAGGCUCCUUAGUAAUUUAUAAUAACUUUUUAAAUUAUAUAGCCUUAUACUAGUAAUAGUUUAUUUAAAUUUCUUCCUUAUUAACUUUUAAUAUUUAGGUAUUAGCUAAAUAUAGUUAUAAUAGGUAAUAGAGGGUUAAGGCUUAACCCUAGAGAAGGAGCUUAAGAAAUAGCUACUAUAUUUAAAGAAGGUAAUAAGUAUAUAAAUUACCUAAUCCUAAUUUAAGGAGGUAGUAAUAAUAAAUACUAAUAUAAGGCUCUUUUAGGUCUUAUAAUUAGAAUAAGUAUAAUUUAAAUCUCUUAAUAAGAAAUAAUUAGAGGGUAAGUCUAAUACUAGUAGCUAUAGUAAUUCUAGCUUUAAUAGUAUAUAUUAAAGUUAUUAUAAUUAAAAUACUUAUAAUUAAACCUUAGGCCUAGCUAGCUAGUCUACCUUACUAUAUAUACUAGUCUAGUUAGGCCUUUCCCUCUAUAGAACCUUAUGCCUUUUACUAGGUAUAAUAGGGAAAUAGGACUUUUACUUUAAAAAAAUUAAAGUACUCUAGGUAGGCCUAUACUUAAAUAUAUUAGUAUAAAAUAAUAAAAUAAGAUAUAUAAUUCUAUUUUAUUAGUUUCUAGGACUAUUAUAAUAAUUAAUAAGGAUAGUUAGAGGUAUUAGUAUUUAAUUAUUAGAGGUAAAAUUCUUAGAUUUAUUAAAAACUAACUACUAUAAAAGUAUUUACUAAAGAUAUUUUUAUUAAUUAGAAAUAAAAGUUAGGGGAUUAAAGAUAAUUAAAUACUAUUAUAGUCUUAACUAUAAACUAUACUAACUAGGGAUUAGAUAAUAUUAUUUUUUAAUAUAUUUAGUAUCUUAUAAGAAAUUAAAGUACUUAGGCUUUAGAGGGAGUAUAGUUAUAAGGCUAAAACUUAAAGAAAUUAAUAAAAGGGUACUACUAGGGGUAAACUACUUUAUAUAGCUAUAGUAGCUUUACUCCUAAAAGUAGCCUAAAAGGGUUAGUAGUAUUCCUAUUUAUACUCUAAUAUAAUAAACUAAGUACUAGUCUCUCUAAAGAUAACACCCUUAAAUUAUAGGAAACUUCUAAAACUAGUAUUACUAAGCUAGUAUUAAAAAGGCGUUAGUAGCUAAGGUAAUAACCUAGGGUAUAGUAAAAGUAUACUAAAUAUAUAGAUAAUCUAUAGCUAAGCCUUAUUAUAAGGAAGGUUUAGAGACUAAAUAGGGGUAGGUAGUAUAUUAGAGGAUUUAUCCUCUAAGUACUUACUUAUAUACUACUUAAGAUAUAGUCUACCUAUACUAAAAAUAACAUAAAUUAGUAAGCUUAAAUAAAUAAGAGCCUAUAGCUUAAUUUAACUUAAUAUAAGGAAACUUACUAGGUCUAGAUAUAAUAAAGAUUAAUAGAUUAAGAGCUCUUUCUUAAUUUUAUAGGUAGUAGUAUAUAGUUAUUCUUAGUUAAUAGAGUAAUUUAUCUACUUAAUUAUAAUAAUAAAUAAGACCUUAAUCUACUAAAUAGCCUAUAUUACUUUAGUAGUAUACUAGCUUCUUAGAGGGACUAUUAACUUAAGCUAAUAGAAG
This 1792-nucleotide ribosomal RNA is filed under the name Beauveria bassiana. Its description in RNAcentral is "SSU rRNA". It matches the Rfam family "Eukaryotic small subunit ribosomal RNA", at positions 1 to 1443 of the family's 1831-position model. The record is from RNAcentral. Lineage: Eukaryota; Fungi; Ascomycota; Sordariomycetes; Hypocreales; Cordycipitaceae.